This 414-nucleotide transfer-messenger RNA is filed under the name Candidatus Omnitrophota bacterium. It matches the Rfam family "transfer-messenger RNA". Rfam says of the family: Bacterial tmRNA, also known as 10Sa RNA or SsrA, is named for its dual tRNA and mRNA-like properties. Its role is to liberate the mRNA from a stalled ribosome. To accomplish this part of the tmRNA is used as a reading frame that ends in a translation stop signal. The record is from RNAcentral. Lineage: Bacteria; Pseudomonadati; Candidatus Omnitrophota.
GGGGGUGAAGGGCUUCGACCCAUAUAAGCAAGGCAAAGGUUGCAUGUAGAGGUUGCUAGGAGGCCUCUUAAAACACCUGGCAAAUCAACAAAUGCUGACAACUUCAAUGUGCCAGCAACGGUUGACCAGCUUCUGGCUACCAUGCAAGUGGUACCGGGGCCGGUUCUACCGGUAGCGUUAGCCCUAUAAGCUAACCCGUCAACCGGCAUGUGCCUGUGAGGCCGGAUUGGCGACGAUAACAGGAUAGUCCUUGCCGUUUAGCCUUUAGCGGCUCGGAUGAAGCUUCUAAAGGAUACUCUGCCGCAAUUCCGCCCGUUGAAGCGCGGACAGGGGAAAUCAAAGAUCGGGACAAACAUGUAGGAGCUUUUGUUUUGAUAUUUGGGGACGCGGGUUCGACUCCCGCCACCUCCACCA